UUCCAGCUCAGUUGGUAGAGCAUGAGAGACUUAAUCUCAGGGUCAUGGGUUCAAGUCCCAAGGGCAAAA
Molecule: non-coding RNA, 69 nt
Organism: Podarcis lilfordi (Lilford's wall lizard)
Lineage: Eukaryota; Metazoa; Chordata; Lepidosauria; Squamata; Lacertidae
Source: the annotation of a GenBank genome assembly